GAAUCCACCACCUUCCAUAUAUACAAAAAUCUUCAGUUACUCACGCUGAACCUACUGCACUUGAACGAACACAGAAGCAGUUUUGGAAGCAAGAUAUUUAAUAAAAAAACAGAAAAUGCAAAGACGGAGUAGCGGAGGUCGUCUCCAAACAGUUCCGGCAGUGAAACACACAGCUCGUCUCUGCAUCCUAUAGCGCAUCUUCCUUUCUCGCCAAUGAUUGUGAAUCAGCUCGUCUCCGGCUGUUGUUGCUGCCUAAAAAAGCAGAAAAUGCAAAGUGGAGCUCAUCUCCAAACAAUUCUGGCAGUGAAACAAACAGCGAAGCAUACACCCCCUCCGUGGCUGCUGUUGUUGCCCAAACCGCCAUCCAAGCGCCGCCACCACCACCACCUCCAGCACUACGCGUCGGUCCCAUUUCUGUUGAGACUAAAUCCACCAUCCCUGUAUUAUAGAACGAAGAGGGGAAGGGGCGGACGAAGAUGCCAGCCGGUGCUAGAGAAACAGGCGGUGAGAUGCGAAUUCCGGAGAUGCCAUCCCUAUAUUUUUUGGCUUGAUUGUUUGAUUGGUUUCAAGUUCUUUAAUGGCGACGGAAGAUACUAAGAGUUAGAGUAGCAGAGCACUGGAUUCACCGCCUACUCACCCUCGUUAACAAAGGCAGAAGCUUGAGGUUUAUAACGAGGUACUUCGUAGGCUCAGAGAAUCGAAGAGUGAGGAGGCAAAUGCUCCUAAUUUUGAAGAUGAACUUUGGAACCAUUUCAACCGACUACCCACUAGGUACCGUAACCCUAGUUGUUUUUGUUUACUCUCUUCUUGUUUUUAUUCCACUUUCUGCUUCACUAGUGUUCUUAUUUUAUUGAUUUUGUUGAGACUAUCUUGAAACGCGAAGAGACUAAAUCCACCAUUCCUGUUGAGACUAAAUCCACCAGCCGGUGUCGGAGAUGCCAGUGCAGGUUCCAGUGCAUCAGAGCCGGUGCUAGAGGGAACGGUGAGAUAUUCCAUUAAGGUAAGGGGAAUAUUAGUCAAUUAUGAAAAGGAAUAGCAUUAGUCAAUUUUUAAACAGAGUACACUUAGUUAAUUAGCUAAACCAUAAGGAUAGUUUAAAAAAUUUAUCCCUAAUACAUUUAUCAAAAAUUCUGAAAAUACCCUUCCCACCUCCAUUCCUAAAACCCCUACAUCUACAACUGCAAGUGCUGCAAGGGAGGUGGCUAUGGCACUGUCGACAGCAAACAUCCUUGCUCCUCUCUGCCUUUCAUGCUUGGCUGCUGUCCCCCUUCUCUGCCAUCUCCACCAUAAUGUCUUCGAAAGGAUCCAUUGCUUUGCAGGUUGGACAGCCUUCGGUCUCCUCUAGACCUUCGUCAUCCUCACCUUCUACUAAAUAGAAUCUAAAAUUUACAACCUACGCAGCUCUAAAUUGGUAAACAAGCAAGAAUUCUGAUUCACAUUAGCCAUCACACUUCUAAUUAUCGUUCCAUGGGUUACUAUGAGAUCAGUUCCAGUCAAGGUCUCGGCUCCUUUUGGCCAUUCCUUGAUUAUCAAGUUCCAGGGUGGAAUUUACGAGUGACUAAAACCCAGGCAAAGAUGCUGGAGACGGUUUCCGUCGUGCCGUGAAUGGUCGGAAGGAUGCUCUUGCACUGCAAGUCCCUGGGGCGAUUCAAGCACAAUGGGGGACGCAUUAAGGCUAUGCUGGAAGAAGCAAAGAAUGAGCAAAAAUCUGGUCGUCGCCGUACAAGUGGUAUGAGCAAAAUUUGGUUGUCGCCUUACAAGGAGUCUUCUUCAAUGCCUACUUUCUGGGUUACUUGAUCUCUCCCAGAUUUGCUCACUGUGUGGUGGGGCACCUAGAAAUGGGGAUCGAAGGAGCUAACCAUCAUCCAUCAAAGCUUGGAAUUGCUUGAUCUGUCUUGAGUGGCGCUACCCAUUUUCUAUUUUCGCCAAAAUUUCUGUUAAAUGUAGUUAUUCAAGGACCCUUUUUUCUAAAAUAUUAGUUUUUCUGUCUCCCCUGUUUUCGAACGAUGGAAAAGAAGACCAUUAAAGAGAAAGAAAAUGAUGACAUAGAAGCUGACCCCAACCAAAAGAAAAAGAAAACAAGGGAGCAUUAAUAAAUGUAGGCCUCCUCAGACUCCUCCCCUCCCUCUCCCUACAAUUCAAAUCCCACCUUCGCUUUGCUUCUCUUUAAUUCAGAAAAAAAAAGCAGUUAGACCCAAUCUGAGCAGAGUCAAUCUUUUAACAUCUUUAUAGAAAAUUUGAAUUGUUGUUAUACCCAAUCGGAGCAUAGCCAACCUAAACACAAAAAUGCUGAUGGUGGCUAUGAAGAGAAGCGGAGAUGAUGGAGUGGAGCAAGGAAGGAGAAAAGGGGGGAGGGGAUGACGUCAGUGAACUAUGGAGUCGAUCUAGGAAUUGUUGCCGCUGUGUUGAGGAAGACGUGAAUGAACUAUGAUUGUAAUUUUUUUUAAUUAUUAAUGAAAAUCAUAUCAAAUUAGCUUGA
Non-coding RNA from Nelumbo nucifera (sacred lotus), 2479 nucleotides. NCBI's taxonomy places the organism in Eukaryota, Viridiplantae, Streptophyta, Magnoliopsida, Proteales, Nelumbonaceae. The record is from RefSeq and is a predicted model, not a curated record.